GAACUGAAGAGUUUGAUCAUGGCUCAGAUUGAACGCUGGCGGCAGGCCUAACACAUGCAAGUCGAGCGGAUGAAGGGAGCUUGCUCCUGGAUUCAGCGGCGGACGGGUGAGUAAUGCCUAGGAAUCUGCCUGGUAGUGGGGGAUAACGUCCGGAAACGGGCGCUAAUACCGCAUACGUCCUGAGGGAGAAAGUGGGGGAUCUUCGGACCUCACGCUAUCAGAUGAGCCUAGGUCGGAUUAGCUAGUUGGUGGGGUAAAGGCCUACCAAGGCGACGAUCCGUAACUGGUCUGAGAGGAUGAUCAGUCACACUGGAACUGAGACACGGUCCAGACUCCUACGGGAGGCAGC
Molecule: ribosomal RNA, 349 nt
Filed under: Pseudomonas aeruginosa
Lineage: Bacteria; Pseudomonadati; Pseudomonadota; Gammaproteobacteria; Pseudomonadales; Pseudomonadaceae
Description: bacterial SSU rRNA
Rfam family: Bacterial small subunit ribosomal RNA
Source: RNAcentral